CAUUAAAGCCUAGUGCUCCUCAUCGGGUUGUCCCCUCCCUGCUGACCCAUCUCACUUGGUAUCACUGAAGCAACAUAGCAGGAUAAUUGUGUUGGCACCCAAGAAGCACCCCUAUUCUCCUCUUGAACGACGGGUUAUCUGCUGCUUAAUCCUUCCACUACUGCCUCAUUAAAGCCUAGUGCUCCUCAUCGGGUUGUCCCCUCCCUGCUGACCCAUCUCACUUGGUAUCACUGAAGCAACAUAGCAGGAUAAUUGUGUUGGCACCCAAGAAGCACCCCUAUUCUCCUCUUGAACGACGGGUUAUCUGCUGCUUAAUCCUUCCACUACUGCCUCAUUAAAGCCUAGUGCUCCUCAUCGGGUUGUCCCCUCCCUGCUGACCCAUCUCACUUGGUAUCACUGAAGCAACAUAGCAGGAUAAUUGUGUUGGCACCCAAGAAGCACCCCUAUUCUCCUCUUGAACGACGGGUUAUCUGCUGCUUAAUCCUUCCACUACUGCCUCAUUAAAGCCUAGUGCUCCUCAUCGGGUUGUCCCCUCCCUGCUGACCCAUCUCACUUGGUAUCACUGAAGCAACAUAGCAGGAUAAUUGUGUUGGCACCCAAGAAGCACCCCUAUUCUCCUCUUGAACGACGGGUUAUCUGCUGCUUAAUCCUUCCACUACUGCCUCAUUAAAGCCUAGUGCUCCUCAUCGGGUUGUCCCCUCCCUGCUGACCCAUCUCACUUGGUAUCACUGAAGCAACAUAGCAGGAUAAUUGUGUUGGCACCCAAGAAGCACCCCUAUUCUCCUCUUGAACGACGGGUUAUCUGCUGCUUAAUCCUUCCACU
Long non-coding RNA from Protopterus annectens (West African lungfish), 823 nucleotides. RefSeq lists it as uncharacterized. The transcript has 5 exons. The record is from RefSeq and is a predicted model, not a curated record. Lineage: Eukaryota; Metazoa; Chordata; Ceratodontiformes; Protopteridae.